CCUACGGGAGGCAGCAGUGAGGAAUAUUGGUCAAUGGGCUUACGCCUGAACCAGCCAAGUCGCGUGAGGGAAGACUGCCCUAUGGGUUGUAAACCUCUUUUGUCAGGGAGCAAUUGGCGCUACGUGUAGCGUUAUCUAGAGUACCUGAAGAAAAAGCAUCGGCUAACUCCGUGCCAGCAGCCGCGGUAAUACGGAGGAUGCGAGCGUUAUCCGGAUUUAUUGGGUUUAAAGGGUGCGUAGGCGGAAUGCCAAGUCAGCGGUAAAAUCGCGGGGCUCAACCUCGCUCCGCCGUUGAAACUGGCGUUCUUGAGUGGGCGAGAAGUAUGCGGAAUGCGUGGGGUAGCGGUGAAAUGCAUAGAUAUCACGCAGAACUCCGAUUGCGAAGGCAGCAUACCGGCGCCCAACUGACGCUGAAGCACGAAAGCGUGGGUAUCGAACAGGAUUAGAUACCCUAGUAGUC
Molecule: ribosomal RNA, 460 nt
Filed under: uncultured bacterium
Lineage: Bacteria
Description: partial 16S ribosomal RNA
Rfam family: Bacterial small subunit ribosomal RNA
Source: RNAcentral